UUGCGAACACUUUGUUCCACUCCCUAGGCUGCCUUUUCACUUUGUCGAUGGUGCCAUUUGCUGUGCGGAAGAUUGCUAAUUUGAUGUAGUCUCACGUGUUUAUCUUUGCUUUUGUUGCCUUUCAGUUUUGUGUCAAAUUCAAAAAGGAAAAAAAAAAUUGCCAAGACUGAUGUCGAUGAGUCUUCCUCCUGUGUUUUCUUCUAGGAAUUUUGUAGUCUUCAGACCUUAUGUUCAGGUCUUUUUUUUUUCCCCCAAGUCUUUAAUCCAUUUGGAGCUGCUUUUUGCGUAUGGUGUAAGAUAGGGGUCCAGUUUCAUUCUUACGCAUGUGCCUAUCCAAUUUUCCCAGUACUGCUUACUAAAGAAACUACCCUUUCCCCCUUUCUUUUAUAUAUCCUUGUAUAUUCUGGACUCAUUUGUCAUAAUGGACUGUAUAUGAAUGAGUUUAUUCUGGGCUCGCUCUCCUGUUCCACUGUCUAGGUGUCUGUUUUUAUGCCAAUACCAUACCGUUUUGAUUAUUAAAGCCUUGUACUAUAGUUUGAAAUCUGGAAGUGUGAUACUUUGAGAUGUGUUUGUUCUUAAGAUCGCUUAAGCUAUUUAGGGUUUUAUUUUAUUUCAUACAAAUUUUAUGAUUUUUUUAAAAUUUUCUUUUUGGAGAAUGGAAGCGGGGGAAAAGGGGCAGAGAAAAAAUCCUAAGCAGGCUCUACACUGAGGUCCUCCAUGUGGGGCUUGAUCCCACGACCUUGGGAUCCUGACCUGAGCUGAAAUCAAGAAUCGGAUGCUCAAUUGACUAAGCCACCAGGACACCCCCUUAAUUUCUGUUUCUGAGGCUUCAUUUUUAGUGUAUAGAAGCCCAACUGAUUUCUGUUUAUUGGUUUUCUAUCCUGCAGCUUUACUGAAUUCACGUCUUGGUUUUAACGUGGUUUUCUAGUGGAAUCUUCAGGGUUUUUUAUAUAUGAUGUUAUGUCGCCUGUAGAUAGAGACCAUCUUACUACCAUUUUUUGAUUUGGAUGGCUUCUCUUCCUUGCCUAAUUGCUCAGGCUUGGUCUUCAAGUAUUGUGUUGAAUGAAAGUGGCAAAGUUGGGUCAUCCUUGUGUUGUUACUGAUCUUCAAGGAAAAACUUACAGCUUUCCACCGUUGAGUAUAUUAGCUGUGGGCUUGUUACAUAUGGCCUUUACCGUAUCGAGGCAUGUUCCCUCUAUACUCCAUUGAGAGUUUUUAUCAGGAUAUUGAAUUUGUGAAAUGUUUUUUCUGCAUCUAAUGGAAUGAUUGAAUGAUUAUUAUCCUUCAUUUUGUCAAUGUGUUAUAUGACAUUGACUUGCAGAUGUUGAGCUAUCCUUGAAUCCUUAGAAUAAAUCCCACUUGAUCAUGGUGUGUAAUCCUUCUAAUGUACUGUUGAAUUCAGUGUGCUAAUAUUUUGUUGAGGAUUUUUGCAUCUAUGAUCAUCAGGGAUGUUGACCUGUAAUUUCAUUUUCUUAUAAUGUCCUUAACUAAUUUUGAUAUCAGGUUAAUACUGGACUUGUAAAAUGAGUUUGGAAGCAUUCCCUUCUGUUUUUUUUAGUAGAACUCAUCAUCUGGUCCUGGACUUUUUGUUGUUGUGGGAAGAGUUUUGAUUUCUGAUUUGCUCUCCUUACUAGUAAUUGGUGUCUUCAGAUUUUCUAUUCAUGGUUCAGUUUUGUUAGGUUGUGGGUUUGUAGGAAGUUAUCCAUUUCUGCUAGGUUUUCCAGUUUGUUUGGGUAUUGUUGUUCAUAAUGGUCUUUUAGGAGCCUCUGUAUUUGUGUGGUAUCAGUAAUAAUGUCUCUUCUUCCAUUUAUAAUUUUAAGUCCUCUCUCUUUUUCGCCCCCCUUGGUUAAUCUAGCUAAAGGUUUUGUUUAUCUUUACAAAAUACCUAGCUAUUAGUUUCAUUGAUCUUUUUUAUGGUCUCUCUAGUCUCUAUUUCAUUUAUUUCUGCUCUGAUCUUUGUAUUUCCUUCCUUAAGCUACUUUUGGGCUUAGUUCUUUCUGUAGUUCCUUGAGAUACAAUAACGGGUUUUGUAUUUAAGCUCUUUCUUGUUUCUUAAUGUAGGCAUUUACUGCUAUAAACUUCCGUCUUGGAACAGUAUUUGCUGCAUCCCAGAAGUUUUGAUACAUUAUGUUUCCCUUUUCAUUUAUCUGAAGAUUGUUUUUGAUUUUUCUUCUUUGACCCAUUUGUUGUUGAAAAACGUGUUGUUUAAUCUCCCUGUAUUUGUGUUUUCCAGCUUUAUUCUUUUUGAAAAAAAAUUUUAACAUUUAUUUCAGUUUUAAAGACAAAGUGUAAGGGGGGAGGGUCAGAGAGAGAGGGAGACAGAGAAUCUGAAGCAGGCUCCAGGCUCUGAGCCAUCAGCACAGAGCCCGACGUGGGGCUGGAACCCACAAACCGUGAGGUCAUGACCUGAGCUGAAGUUGGACGCUCAACUGCCUGAGGUGCCCAGGUACCCUCCAGCUUUGUUUUUGUAAUUGAUUUUUAAUUUUAUGCCAUUGUAGUUGAAAAAGAUGCUUGAUAUGUUUCAGUCUCCUUAAACUUUUUGACUUGUUUUGUGGCCUAACAUAUGAUGUAUCCCAGAGAAUGUUGUGUGUGUGCUUGAGAAGAAUGUGUUUUCUCCUGUUGGUUGUGUGAAAAUCCAUAAAGGGAAACCUUACUUAGAAUGGAGUUGGAAGGCCCUGUAGGGAGGAGCUCUCACACACACGAACUUUCCAUCACCGCCUACUUCAUUCCUGUGCCAGAAAUAGUUCACUUUAUUGCUCCAAUAGGAGGAAGGAAGAUUGUCUAAACAGCAGCAGCCUAGCCAAUAAGAAAUUGCCACAAAUCAGCCGGUAAGUAACCAUCACCACCCUAAACUCUUGCUUUUCUCCAGUAGACUUUGAGCCCCUCCCAACUUCCUCCUUGUUCUCUCUAAAGUGAUGUUCCUCUCCCUUGUUCUGCGGACUCUGCCUGUGGUUAGCCAUAGCUUGCAAGUUCUGAAUUGCAUUCCCUCUGCUAUUCUUGCAUAAACUCGUUUCACUGGUAGAACAACUUGCUCUUUUAAGGUUGACAUUACCUGGUGAUCAGAACUGGGAUGUGAAGGAGAUGAAGACCUGAGGAACUAACGACGCUCCGAACUGUGUGCGAUGCUCACAUGAGCCGUUCAUGCCCUCUGAUUACCAGUCGUCUUUUUCCUAGCGGUUGGAUAGAUCUCCUCUCAGACUCCUGCUCCCUCUCUUUGGUUCAGCUCCAACUUUAGCUGGGAUCUGUUUUUGUUUUUAGGAAGGCAUCACCCUUCCUGGGGAGUACUCUUCGGUUUUUGUUUGUCCUGUUUCUGUUUGCUGCACCUUCUUGGUGAGUCACCUGUCGUGAUCAAAAGGGGGAAACGCAUGAUUCCGGGUGUUUCAGAACAGCUGUUGGAAAAGGGUCUCUCAUAGUUAAGACAGUUUAGGGAAUCCAAAAGCAAGAUAGGUUUGACCUAGUCCUUGGACCAGGCUCUUGUGCCUUUCUGGAAAAAUAGGCGAGUUUUUGGAUACUUUGGAGUUGUAAUAACCAUUCUGGGGAAACUUUGACUUAGAUAAAUCCACCUGAAGGGGCACCUUAAAAGAGGAUCCCAACCCUCUCAGAGACAAUGGAGUACAUUGUUUGGUAUGCAGAAGCUUCUAAAAGCCAAGAUGAUUUCAAAAACAUUCCUAAAAAGGAUCCUUUACAGCACGCAAAUAAAAAUUUUGUCGUGAAAAAACAAAACAAACUAGCCAUCUGAGCAGGUAACCUUAACUUAAUCCAUCUUCCACAAAUACAGUUUGAAUCCAGCUCUUGUUUUGAGUUUUCAGGGGCACCUGGGUGGCUCAGUUGGUUAAGCAUCCAACUUGGGCUCUGGUCAUGAUCUCAGGGUUCAUGGGUUCACCUCGGGCUCUAUGCUGACAGUUCAGAGCCUGGAGCCUGCUUCCCAAUUCUGUGUCUCCCUCUGUCUCUUUGCCCCUUCCCUUCUCAUGCUUGCUCUCUUUGAAAAACAAAUAAAAGAAAAUUAAAACUUUGGAGUUUUGUAUUUGAAACGUGGCUAAGGUUUUUUGUGAGGGUUUUUGUUUUUUAUGUUUUUUAAACGAAAGCUCUUACGAUCUCUGUUUACAUAUGUGGAUGUCUAUUUUUCUACCUACAGAUAGUAUUGCCAAAAUCAAUUUGUAAAGAACUCUAUUUAAAUCGGCUUAAAGAAAAAAAACAUAUGUAAAUUAAGUAAACCCAAAUGUUUUCUGGGUUCACAUGAUCCGGGAUAAUCAAUAAGUAAAAGCUAAUUGAAGUUUGUUGGUUUAAUUAAGACCAACAUGCCUUAGAAUUCUCAACAUUGAGGGGCAUGUAGGUGGCUCAGUCGGUUAAUCAUCCGACUUCAGCUCAGGUCAUGAUCUCACGGUUUGUGGGUUCGAGCCCCACGUCGGGCUCUGUGCUGACAUCCCGGAGCCUGGAACCUGCUUCGGAUUCUGAGUCUCCUUCUCUUUCUCUGCCCCUCCCCCACUCAUGCCCUGUCUCUCAAAAAUAAACAUCAAAAACUUUUUUAAAAACAGAAUUCUCAACACUGACUAUAAUGCAAACAUGUUGUCUCUCUUGCAAAGUCUGUCAGUAAGAAAAUUCACCUGAGGUGAUGGGUGCUGGUGUCCAAUGUCUCAUGAAGUUUUUUGUGCGUAAUUUGAACAUAAUUGGCGGGGACAGUAUUGUGGUAGAGGUGGACCCCCUCCCUAAGGAACGUGGCGAAGGCCUCCUCAGAACAAGGAAGGCAACGUGGCCCAAUUAACUCCCAUACACGAAUGCCUGGCUCUGACACGACUCUCUAACGUGGACUGUGUCCAGUUGGACUACAUGUCACCGUAUAUGGGAGACAAAGAAGUAGAAAUUCCAUAAAAGGUUACACCCCGACGUGCUUGGGGCUCAGCCUUUUUGGGGUCUUUGCCUGCUGAGCCCGUGCCUGCAGGAAUAAAGCUGCUUGCUGGGAAGAGCCUCUGUGGUUGGUCUCACUGUGCGAGCAUCCUGCUACGUGUCUUGGGGGCUCGCUUCCAGGAUUCAAAGACGAUGCUUUCCCCCCUCCUCUGUCACCCCGGAGUGUGAACCUCGGAGCGCUGGGAGACGACACCUCGCCUCGCGCCAGCGGACCGCUUGAUCCAUAGGCGACCGGUCCCUCCUGGUGCAGAAGCACAGCGGAACCCGUGAGGCCCAGGAACCGGCUCAGUGACUGCUGCCCAACAGACUGGAAAGGUAGCCGAAGCGGGUCCCUGGAUUGACCACAGCAGAGUGGAGCCGGCAUCUCGAAACUGGGAGUGCGUUCCUGAUCCGUCCACGCCGUGCGAGCUGACCCCACGGAAGUAGCAGUCGGCCACUCCAGAGGCUCCGGGAGACUGCAGCCCUGCCCUGGUCACUCUGGAAGCCGGCUGAUCCACGCACAGCAGAAGCUCGAGAAAUCGGCGGUCCGGUAGAACGAAUCGACUGUCCUUAUUUUCUGAGUGCUUCAUCUUCAAGGAGGUUCAUGAGAAAGGAAUUUGCCAGGUGCUCUAGAAUACAGGGAUUUGAUUCCUUUAAGAUCAUAACACCGAGCUGGACUCUGCCUAUGGUUCGCAGUAGUUUGGGUGUGCCAAAUCGCAAUUCUUCUGCUAUUCCUGAACAAACUAAUUUUGCUGCCUGAGGAACUCCCUUUAUCAUGGAAGGCUGGUCUAGUGGUGCUGAACUCCUUGAACCCUUGUUUGUCUGGUACUCUCUUGGUGUCUCCUUCAGUUCAGAAGGACAACAUGGCAGUUUGUGUGUUGUUUGGACCUCUCCAAGCAUCGAUGGAACUUAAUUUGAACCCUCAGGUAAGUCACUUUAAGGUCAUUUUUAACACUUAUUUUCUGAGAGAGCAUGAGCAGGGGAAGGGCAGAAAGAGGGACAGACAGAAUCCGAAGCAGGCUCCAGGCUCUGAGCUGUCCGCACAGAGCCUGACACAGGGCUCGAACCCACCAACCGUGAGGUCAUGACCUGAGCUGAUGUUGGACGCUUAACCGACCGAGCCACCCAGACGCCCCAAAAGAGGAAACGCAUCUUUUCAGAUGGCUUUGGAUGCAUGCUGUGCGAUGUGGGAACUCCCCUGUAGGCUUCCCUGCUCCCCCCCUGGACAAGGACCUCUGAAUGCAUCUCUGUUCACAUCUUCCCCAGGUAGGUGAAGUUCACCUAUCAAAACAGUGAGGAAGGCUAGGACACGGUUGGGGAAAAGGACUUUGCCAAACCUGACUUCACUCAUGAACUGUGAGAGCAGGAGCUGAGGCAAAAUCGAGUGGGACGCUAAAGGCACCCCAGUUAUCAUUCUUUAAUGGACUCGUGGCUUUAUUUUCAUCUCUUAAAAAGUCAAGUUCACAAGGUAAAACUAGAGAAAUGAAAAAUCGCUCCUCUGCCUUCUAGAGGUUCCAGUACUUCGUGGUAGGAUUACUGUCAUUAACUAAAAGAUUGCGUGCGAUCUUAUCUAGACAGGAUUUAUACAUAGCUAAUUGUUCAGGGGACUCCUAUAACAAUCGCACAAAAUGCCACAGAAACAGGAGGUAUUAGGGCGUGUGGCAAAGAGCAUCCUCAUUGGGCUCCUGAUUGUUCUCCUGCCGAGCCUAGGGAAGGGUGAUGAUCCUGAGGUGGCACCUCAUUUAGAAAGGCAAGGUCUCAGUAGGGGACAAGAGCUGAUGCUUAGAAAAGUCAGGUGAAGAAAAUCCAAAUGCAGACUCGUGCCAACAGGUAAGUAGUUUACAGCAGCAGAGCUUAGUUUGUUACUUGGGAUUUUCAUUUGACUGUCUGCUUAGAGAGUGCCUGUCGGAUCGAGAUCUUUUACCAUUCCCGCAUACAUCUUCUUUCAGUAGACUUUUACACUUUGGGUUUGUACAGGAGCCACGGGUGCCCAGACCCUUAGGAAGGAUGGCCCUUGUUCUUACUUUCCCCAAACCUGAGCUUUGUGUUAACCCCAUACCUAUAAUGCUUUCGUUUGUUGAAGUAUCUGUACUUCAGAGAACUCUAGAGCUGUCGGUAGCAUUUUCGUAGAAACGUGAUGUCCAUACACACGUGAAAUGUCGAUGAUGCGUACUGUUUAAAAAUGACACCGUACUGCAGACACAGAAAGAUAGUAUUUUAUGUAUGGUAAAAAGGCAAGUGAGUGAAGCUAUACUUUUAUUGCAUUACUCUUAGUACAUCCACAACUAUUUGCACCUAAAUAGAUAUUUAAAAUAAGCAUACACAAGUAUUGACUAUUAUCUACAAAUAUUUAUUGUAACACUUGAAUAGAACUACAGGAAGCCCUUGGCACUGAUAGAAAAUAUUGAUUCACUGUUAGGUUACAAAAAUUUAUACAUAGCAAAAUUUAAUGCUCUUUACAUAAAAAAUAUUAGACUACUUAAACAAAACUUUCAAAAAUUCUUGGUAAUAGCUACCAGAAUUAGAAAAGUAAAAUUAGGCUUUAGACACUGCCUCUUCUAGAACACUGGACUCUAACAGCACCUCCACUGCUGGAAAAAAAAAAAUAUUGAAGUCUGUCAUGCAACAGGAAAACAAAACUAGCUAUUCUGGAACAACUGUUCUACACAGAAGAGAGCUUCUCCCAAUUAAAGGAAAAAAAAGGUCAAGAUCCAAAUAGGCAUUUUUAGGCAUUAACAACAACAACAAAAAGAAUCCAAAUGAAAUCUUAUCCUUGAUGUUCAAUUUUAAUAGCAUCUUGACAAAGGUAUGCUUCCUUUCAUCUUAAGACAUUUCUGCACACGUGUAUGUUUUAAAAUCCAGGAAACAGCCAAACCACAAGUUAAUUCUUAACAUGAAUAUACAGAGUUAAUCCUAUAUUAUGCAGCCCCUUUUAAAAGCACGGAUGCACCCAACGGUUAUAUGUAUCAUUUCAUAAAGAGCAACACAAAGUUUACCAUCACUAAUACCCAAUACCUCUAAUCACUUAAUGUUCUGGAACAGAAUGAUUUAGAAGGCAAGUUUCUUUUGAAAAUGGCUUAAACUCAAGGUGGAUUUUUUUUUCUUUUUUUUCUUUUUUUUGCUGAACAUCAAACUUUUAUUAUUCCAGGAAUGAUUUAGGUUUAAAAAAGGAACUAAAUACCAACCCUAAUUUAAACUACUGAAGUAUUCAAGUCUAGAAAAGUAGGAGGUCUGUGGUCUAUUUGUAAUUCGGUUUUAGAUAGUUGGUAUGAAACUGUAAACUUGCUAUUGAGACCACGUAAAAA
Long non-coding RNA from Acinonyx jubatus (cheetah), 8189 nucleotides. RefSeq lists it as uncharacterized. The record is from RefSeq and is a predicted model, not a curated record. The transcript has 6 exons. NCBI's taxonomy places the organism in Eukaryota, Metazoa, Chordata, Mammalia, Carnivora, Felidae.